Molecule: ribosomal RNA, 254 nt
Filed under: uncultured prokaryote
Description: partial 16S ribosomal RNA
Rfam family: Bacterial small subunit ribosomal RNA
Source: RNAcentral
UACGUAGGCAGCAAGCGUUGUUCGGAGUUACUGGGCGUAAAGAGUGUGUAGGCGGUGCUUUAAGUUUGGUGUGAAAUCUCCCGGCUCAACCGGGAGGGUGCGCCGAAGACUGGAGUGCUUGGAGUGUGGGAGAGGAAAGCGGAAUUCCCGGUGUAGCGGUGAAAUGCGUAGGUAUCGGGAGGAACACCUGCGGUGCAGACGGCUUUCUGGACCAUGACUGACGCUGAGACACGAAAGCGUGGGUAGCCAACAGG